CGCGUAGGUGGUAGUGUAAGUCUGAGGUGGAAUCCCAGGGCUUAACCCUGGAACUGCCUUGGAAACUGCAUUACCUGAGUCAGUGAGGGGAGGGUAGAAUUCCUGGUGUAGCGGUGAAAUGCGUAGAUAUCAGGAGGAAGGCCUGUGGCGAAGGCGGCCCUCUGGUGCUGGACUGACACUGAGGCGCGAAAGCGUGGGGAGCAAACAGGAUUAGAUACCCUGGUAGUCCACGCCCUAAACGGUGGGCACUAGGUGUAGGGCUCGUAAGGGUUCUGUGCCGAAGGGAAACCAUUAAGUGCCCCGCCUGGGGAGUACGGCCGCAAGGUUGAA
Molecule: ribosomal RNA, 330 nt
Filed under: uncultured bacterium
Lineage: Bacteria
Description: bacterial SSU rRNA
Rfam family: Bacterial small subunit ribosomal RNA
Source: RNAcentral